Molecule: long non-coding RNA, 144 nt
Organism: Rhipicephalus sanguineus (brown dog tick)
Lineage: Eukaryota; Metazoa; Arthropoda; Arachnida; Ixodida; Ixodidae
Exons: 2
Source: RefSeq, a predicted model, not a curated record
CAUUCAAGUUAAUGUUUUUACACACUUCGCCUUUACUGUUGAAUACCGCAAAGAGGUCAGCCUAACACUGGAGUUCACACAAAGGGCAGCCGCAGCAUUCAACCCUGACAGAGGGAGCAAGGUCGAGAAGUCAAGGAAGCAGGG